CUCCUUUCCAGCCAGGCAAGGUUGACCUUGACCAGCGUGCCUAUCAGCAGCUCAAUGGGAUUAAAUGGCUUGCCAGUGUCACAAGGAAAUGUAGGCCUUG
Molecule: long non-coding RNA, 100 nt
Organism: Eptesicus fuscus (big brown bat)
Lineage: Eukaryota; Metazoa; Chordata; Mammalia; Chiroptera; Vespertilionidae
Exons: 3
Source: RefSeq, a predicted model, not a curated record